CCUACGGGAGGCAGCAGUGGGGAAUAUUGGGCAAUGGACGCAAGUCUGACCCAGCAACGCCGCGUGAAGGAAGAAGGCUUUCGGGUUGUAAACUUCUUUUAAGGGGGAAGAGCAGAAGACGGUACCCCUUGAAUAAGCCACGGCUAACUACGUGCCAGCAGCCGCGGUAAUACGUAGGUGGCAAGCGUUGUCCGGAUUUACUGGGUGUAAAGGGCGUGCAGCCGGAGAGACAAGUCAGAUGUGAAAUCCACGGGCUCAACCCGUGAACUGCAUUUGAAACUGUUUCCCUUGAGUGUCGGAGAGGUAAUCGGAAUUCCUAGUGUAGCGGUGACAUGCGUAGAUAUUAGGAGGAACACCAGUGGCGAAGGCGGGUUGCUAGACUGUAACUGACACUGAGGCACGAAAGCGUGGGGAGCAAACAGGAUUAGAUACCCGGGUAGUC
RNAcentral lists this ribosomal RNA (442 nucleotides) under uncultured bacterium. Its description in RNAcentral is "partial 16S ribosomal RNA". It matches the Rfam family "Bacterial small subunit ribosomal RNA", at positions 338 to 795 of the family's 1533-position model. The record is from RNAcentral.